AACCAUAGAAACCUGCGGAGUACCUGCGGAGGGAUCAUUACACAAUACAAUAUGAAGGCUGUCCGCAGCUGGAGUAUUUUAUUACCCUUGUCUUUUGCGCACUUGUUGUUUCCUGGGCGGGUUCGCUCGCCACCAGGACCACCAAAUAAACCCUUUUUAUGCAGUUGCAAUCAGCGUCAGUACAAACAAUGUAAAUCAUUUACAACUUUCAACAAUGGAUCUCAGAUCGGAAGAGCACAC
RNAcentral lists this unclassified non-coding RNA (240 nucleotides) under soil metagenome. Its description in RNAcentral is "partial contains 5.8S ribosomal RNA, internal transcribed spacer 2, and large subunit ribosomal RNA". The record is from RNAcentral.